AUUCAAUGCAGUGACGGCAGAAAGUGUAUGGGCAUGAAGAUUCAAAGAAAAAGAUGCGGCCGUUGAAAGAUUUAUAUGCUCCUUUGCUCCAGGUACCUGAACCACUAAGGCCAGUUUCACCAAAUUCAUUUAGUCCAGAAGCACCAACACCAAGUUCAUCUGCACUCUUACCUCCUCCACCACUUCCAGAAUCAGAAGACCAAGUGUUUCCUCCUAAUGGAAAUCAAAAUGUGAGUAAAAGAAAUAAAGAAGAAAGAAAUUAAUUGGAAUUUCUUGGAAAUAGAGUCCAGGUUAGGAUACCUGAGUCACUGACAUCAGAUCCAGGACUCAAGUUUCCAGCCUCAUCAGGGUCACUGCUUCUCUUUCUAUUCCCACCAGUUCUACUGAGUUCAACUUCAUGUUGAUCAGAUGACCCCAAUAUGACUCCUGAAUCUUCAGAGAUACCACUAGAAUUUUCAAACCCAUUUCUUGCACUUGAAUCACCUGUUGAAUACAAAAUUAUGGUCACUAGAAUUACUUUCAAUGCCUACUAUGAUUCAGAAUCAUUCGUGCACAGAAAUUAACAAUUAGUACCUAGCACUAUAGCCUCCAGAACUACCUACUCCAUUUCCAUCAAAAUCUUUACUACUAUUGCCAUUGUCACCAGAUUGAUUUGAACCAGAAUCUCUAAAGUUAAAUUCAGCUCCACCCUUCGUUUCUCCAAGUCCAAAUUCAAACAACCAGGACUUUUCCACUGGUGAAGAAAUAAAAUGUUAAUAAAAUAAUGGGUGAAAGGUUGAAAUCAAUUUAAAUUUCACCAGAGCAGAGUCCAGGACUAAACCACCUGCGCCACUGACAUCAGAUUUACUGCUGCUCUGCUCAUUCCAACCAGAUCCACUUGUUCCAAAUCCCUUUUGACCAAAUUUCUCCAAACCGAAGCCCAAAUUUUCUGCUAUGUCACACACACAAAAAAUCCCUUUUUUAUUGCACUGGUACCAAUUACAUGAUAUAAAAUGGUUAUCAUCAGAAUGCAUUUCAAUAAGUUUAUGAUUCAAACUUUAAUGCAAAGAAAUUAAAUAUCGAUACCUAAAUCACUAGAACUAGAUUCUCUAGUAACUUUUAUUCCAUUUUCACUAAGCUCAUUACCACCAAAUUUCCUUGAACCAGAAUACUUAAAAUCAAAUCCAGCUCCAACUUUUUUUCCUCCAAGUCCAAAUUCAAGAGACUCAAGCAUUCCCACUAACAGAAAAAUCAAAAUAUUUUUAAAUAAAUGAAUAUUUGGAAUUCAGGUGGAUAUCUCGGGAACAAAACUGGCUAGAAUACCUGAGCUACUUGAAUCAGAUCCAAAACCUUUGAAUCCAGCCUCAGCAGAUACACUGCCACUCAUUCCAUUCCCUCCAAUUUCAUUGAUUCCAAAUCCCUCUUGACCAGAAUCCCAUAAAUUGGAUAUCGAAUUUAGAGAGCCACCACCAACAAAUUGAUUCUCACUUCUGAAACUGGUAUCACCUGCAGAAUAUAAAAUAAUUGUCACUGUGCAUUGAAAAUAUUUUAUGACUCAGACGUUUUUAUGCACAAAAGUCAGAUAUUAAUACCUAGAUCAAUGGAAACAGAUCCUCCAGAACUACUCGUUUGAUUUCCUUCAACUGUUUUGCUACUAAUGCCAGUGUCACCAAAUGAAUUCGAAUCAGAAACUUCAAAACCAAAUGCAGCAUCACCUUUCCCUGCUCCAAGUUUCAAACCAGAAGAACCAGUUCCAACUAAUGGAAAAUCAAAAUGUGAUUAAAGUUAACAUUAAUUAAUUAAUCUUGUUGUUAAGUGACAUUAAAAUAAAAGCAUCUUAACCAAUUAAUUAACUGAAUCAAUCUAAAAUUUUGAGGAUUGAGUCUUAGUUGGAAUACCUGAGCUACCUGCAUCAGGUCCAAAGACUAUGGUUUCACCCCCAGCAGAUCCACUGCCUCUAGUUUCUCUCCCAUCAGCUUUACUGACUUCCAAUCCCUUUUCAUCAGAUAUCCCCCAACCAAAUCCCACAUCCAGAGAGGCACCACUGCUACUAAAGCCAGCACCAUAUCUUGUGUUGGUGCUAUCUGUUGAAAACAAAAGAAAGAAAGAAAGAAAGAAAAAAAUCAUUGUCACCAAGGGAGUAUUUUAACACAUCUUAUGAUUCUUUAUUUUGAUGCAAAAACCUGAAUAGUAAUAUCCAGAUCACUG
This 2187-nucleotide long non-coding RNA is filed under the name Homo sapiens (human). RNAcentral describes it as "HSALNT0187836". The record is from RNAcentral. Lineage: Eukaryota; Metazoa; Chordata; Mammalia; Primates; Hominidae.